This 344-nucleotide long non-coding RNA is filed under the name Parus major (Great Tit). RNAcentral's name for it is "lncRNA (ENSPMJG00000004571.1)". Lineage: Eukaryota; Metazoa; Chordata; Aves; Passeriformes; Paridae. The record is from RNAcentral.
AUGGCCGGGCUGGGGCUGGGAGCGGGGCUGCGGCUGCUGCGGCGGAUCCCGCCCGGAUUUGGGGCGCCCCGGCUGCAGAGCACGCACGAGGCGCAGGUAAGAAAACCUCCAAAAUUCCAGAAAAUUCCACAAAAUUCCACAGAAUUCCACAGAAUUCCACAAAAUUCCAGCCCCAAAUCCUUCCCAAAUCCCUUUAAAAAAAGGAUCCCAAAGAAAACCCCGCCCUUCCCUCACGCGCGUGACGUCAGAACUGGGGCAAAGGGCGGGAAGUGGAAACUGGGGGAAAGGUCAAGGGGGGGGAUUUGGGGGAUCCUGAGGGGAUUUGAGGGAUCCUGAGGGGAUUU